GACGGAGGAUGCAAGUGUUAUCCGGAAUUAUUGGGCGUAAAGCGUCUGUAGGUUGCCUAGCAAGUCUAUUGUUAAAGGUUAAAGCUUAACUUUAAAACUGCAGUAGAAACUGUUAGGCUUGAGUAUAGUCGAAGUAAGGGGAAUUUCCAGUGAAGCGGUGAAAUGCGUAGAUAUUGGAAGGAACACCAAUGGCGAACGCACUUUACUAGACUUUUACUGACACUCAGAGACGAAAGCUAGGGUAGCAAAUGGG
This 253-nucleotide ribosomal RNA is filed under the name uncultured bacterium. RNAcentral's name for it is "partial 16S ribosomal RNA". It matches the Rfam family "Bacterial small subunit ribosomal RNA", at positions 524 to 776 of the family's 1533-position model. The record is from RNAcentral.